GGUUGAUACAGGAAUUUAUUUCUUUAACAAUAAAGAUUUAGUUUGAUAUUGAGCUCAAUCUAAUGCUAUUAGAUAGAAUGGAGUUGAGAAAAAACAUAUAAGGAUAUACUUCUGUAUUCUCCGAUGGGACCGCAGAAAAUAUAUCGUAACUGACCAACCGCAAUAUGCGAACACAAUAUUACGUACGAAAACAAAUAAGAAUAUUUUUCGUUUCUCACUGCACAUAGCGCAAUCUUCCCGCAAUCCCAAACAAAGCCAACGUAGUGUUUCG
RNAcentral lists this long non-coding RNA (271 nucleotides) under Ananas comosus (pineapple). RNAcentral describes it as "long non-coding RNA (ACOM_LNC014622)". The record is from RNAcentral. Lineage: Eukaryota; Viridiplantae; Streptophyta; Magnoliopsida; Poales; Bromeliaceae.